CGGGGCCAGGCUGGAGUCAGGCUGCGGGGCCGGACCGCAGCUGCGGGUCGGGGCGCCGUGCGCGUGCGCGUGCGCGUGCGCGCGGCAGGUCGGCGCCGGGCGGGGGCGGAGCGACAGUCGCAGGCCCACGCCGUAAACAGACAACAUGGCGGCCGCGGUGGCGAUGGCACCUGGGACAUUGGGAUCCCUUCAUGCUGGCGGCGUCCGCCUAGUAGCUGCUUGCAAUGCGUGGCUCUGCCAGGGGUUGAGGCUUCCCGGCUCGUUGGCAGGCCGGCGGGUGGGCCCGGCGAUCUGGGCCCAGAGCUGGGUGCCUGUGGCCGGGGGUCCCGCACCAAGAAGGGGCUACAGCUCUGAGGUGAAGACGGAGGACGAACUACGGGUGCGGCACCUGGAGGACGAGAACCGAGGAAUUGUGGUGCUUGGAAUAAACAGAGCUUAUGGCAAAAAUUCACUCAGUAAAAAUCUUAUAAAAAUGCUAUCAAAAGCUGUGGAUGCUUUGAAAUCUGAUAAGAAAGUACGGACCAUAAUAAUCAGGAGUGAAGUCCCAGGGAUAUUCUGUGCUGGUGCUGACCUUAAGGAAAGAGCCAAAAUGAGUUCCAGUGAAGUUGGUCCUUUUGUCUCCAAAAUAAGAGCAGUGAUUAAUGAUAUUGCUAAUCUUCCAGUGCCAACGAUUGCAGCAAUAGAUGGACUCGCUUUAGGUGGUGGUCUUGAACUGGCUUUAGCUUGUGAUAUACGAGUAGCAGCCCUGAGAGCACGCACUUGGGAGCACUGGAGGAAACUGGAGAAGAGAGAGUCUUCCUCUGCAAAAAUGGGCCUGGUUGAAACAAAAUUGGCAAUUAUUCCUGGUGGAGUGACUUCCUUCACUGAAGUCUUGAAUCUCUCCAAGUCAUCCAUGAAGAUUGGAAUCAUCUUCUUCCAGACUCCUGUUAAUAUUGAUAUUCUGGCCUCUUCCCAUGACUCAUGAAUGUUCUUAAAGGCAUCUAGAAUGGCACUCCUUUCCAUAAGGUUUUCAAUUUAAUUGGCCCAGAUCCCUAAGAGGAAUCACUAUGUAUGACAGCUAUAGCCUUAUGAAAUGUGUGGGUUUUUUUUUUUUUUUUUUUCGAGACAGAGUCUUGCUCUGUUACCAGGCUGGAGUGCAGUGGCAUGAUCUCGGCUCAGUGCAACCUCCACCUCCCAGGUUCAAGCAAUUCUUCUGCCUCAGCCUCCUGAGUAGCUGGGACUACAGGCACGCGUCACCACGCUCAGCUAAUUUUUGUAUUUUUAGUAGAUGCAGGGUUUCACCAUGUAGGCCAAGAUGGUCUCGAUCUCUUGACCUCGUGAUCCACCUGCCUUGGCCUCCUAAAGUGCUGGGAUUACAGGUAUGAGCCACUGUGCCUGGCCUGAAUUUUGUCUCUUAAAAUAUAAGACUUGAAAGUAGACUGAUCCAUGGGCUGUGGAAUGGUUGUUAAGUUAUCAGGCAUGAAAACAACAUUCAUCUCCUUGUCCAUCUCUGUCAGAGAUCUUGGGUAACCAGGAUACUGUCACUGAGCCAUAAUAUUUUGAAAGAACUCUUUUUUUUUUGAGCAGUAGGUCUUGGCAGUGGGCUUAAAAUAUUCAGUAAACCAUGCUGUAAACCACAUGUGCUGUGAUCCAGGUUUAAUUUUUCCAUUUAUAGAGCACAAGCAGAGUUAAUUUAGUGUAGUUCUUAAGGUCUCUAGAAGUUUGGACAUGAUAAAUGAGCAGUGGCUUUAACUAAAAGCCACCAGCUGCAUUAGUCCCUAACAAGAGAGUCAGUCUGUCCUUUGAAGCUUUGAAGUCAGGCAUUGGCUUCUCUUCUGUAGCUAUGAGAGUCCUAGAUAACAUUUUCCAGUAGUAGGCUGUUUUGUCUGUUCAGUGUAGGCACCUUCAUCAUUGAUCUUAGCUAGAUCUUGUGGAUAAUUUGCUGCAGCUUCUACAUCAGCACAUGCUGCUUCACCUUGCACUUUUAUGCCAUGGGAGGUGGCUUCUUUCCUUAAACCUCAUGAACCAGCCUCUUCUAGCUUCCAACCUUUCUUCUGUAGUUUCCUCACUUCUCUCAGACUUAACUCCAGAGUUAAAGAGAGUUAGGGCCUUGCUCUGGAUUAGGCUUUGGCUUAAGGGAAUGUUGUGACUUGUUUGAUCUUCUUUACUUACCGUAAAACUUUCUCCCUAUCAGCAAUAAGGCUAUUUUGCUCCCUUGUUAUUCCUGUAUUCAUGUGAGUAGCACUUCUAACUACCUUCAGGAAAUUUUGCUUUGCAUUGGCAACUUAGCUAACUGGUGCAGGAGGCCUAGCUUUUGGCUGAUCUCAUCUUUUGACAUGCCUUCCUUACUAAACUUAAUCAUUUCUAGCUUUUGAUUUCCAGUGAGAGACAUGUGGAUCUUUGCUCUACUUGAACACUGCAGAAGCCAUUGGAGGGUUAUUCAUUGGACUAAUUUCAAUACUGUUGUGUCUCAGGGAAUAGAGAGCCAAGGAAAGGGAGAGAGGUGGGGGAACAGCCAGUUGGUGGAACAGUCAGAAUACGUGCAUUUAUUGGUUAAGUUUGCCAUCUUUGGUGGGCAUAGUUCAUGGUCCCCCAAAGCAAUUAGAGUAGUAUCAUCAAAGAUUAAUGUUCACAGGUUACCGUAAGAGAUAAAAUAAUGAAAAGGUUUGAAAUAUUGUGAGAAUUACUGAAAUGUGGCUCAGACAUGAACUAAGCACAUGAUGUGGGAAAAAAUGGUGCCAAUAGUCUUGCUUGAUACAGGGUUACCAUUAAUUUGUAAAAAUGCAGUUUUUGUGAAGUACAAUAAAGGGAAGCAAAAUAAAAUGAGGUAUGCCUGUAUGCCCUAUUUUUAGCUUAUGUAGGCAGUGAAGAUGGUGAUUCUUAAGUUUUUUUUUUUUUUGAGAUGGAGUUUCGCUCUUGUUACCCAGACUGGAGUGCAAUGGCGCGAUCUCAGCUCACCGCAACCUCCGCCUCCUGGGUUCAGGCAAUUCUCCUGCCUCAGCCUCCUGAGUAGCUGGGAUCACAGGCACGUGCCACCAUGCCCAGCUAAUUUUUUGUAUUUUUAGUAGAGACGGGGUUUCACCAAAUUGACCAGGAUGGCCUCGAUCUCUUGACCUCGUGAUCCACCCGCCUCGGCCUCCCAAAGUGCUGGGAUUACAGGUUUGAGCCACCGUGCCCAGCCUUUUCUUAAGUUUUAAAUUACUGUUCUAAAUUACUGUUGUCACUGUUUGGAUCUGUUUUCCUAAAGGAUUACACAAACAUUUUGAAGCUUUUAUGAGUGCCUUUUUAAAAAUUUAUUAUUAUUUUUUUGAGACAGAGUCUCACUCCAUCACCUAGGCUGGAGUGCAGUGGCGCCAUCUUGGCUCACUGCAACCUCCACCUCCUGGGUUCAGGCGAUUGUCCUGCUUCAGCCUCCCGAGUAGCUGGGAUUAUAGGCAUGUGCCACCAUAACCAGCUACUCUUUAGUAUUUUUAAUGGAGAUGGGGUUUCACCAUAUUGACCAGGCUGGUUGUGAAUUCUUGACCUUGUGAUCCACCACCUUGGCCUCCCAGAGUGCCAGGAUUACAGGUGUGAGCCACCGUGCCCAGCCUUAUGAAUGCAUUUAAAUGUCUGUAUCCUCAUCAACAGCUUCAUGCAGACGGUGAAACCCCAAGUGGAAGAAGAAGAGAGGUGGCCGGGUACCACGGCUCACGCCCGUAAUCCCAGCAUUUUGGGAGGCUGAGGCACUGGAUCAGUUGAGGUCAGGAAUUUAAAACCAGCGUGGCCAACAUGGCAAAACCCCAUCUCUACUAAAAAUAAAAUAAUUAGCUAGGUGUCAUGGUGUGAGCCUGUAAUCCCAGCUCCUUGGGAGGCUCAGGCAGGAGAAUUGCUUGAACUCAGAAGGUGGAAGUUGCAGUGAGCUGAAAUUGUGCCACACUCCAGCAGCCUGGGUGACAGAGCGGACUCUGUCUCAAAAAAAAAGGAAGAGAGGGUUUCCAGACUUUGUACCACCUUCCUCCUCAUGUUUCUUUGCAGUGGGACAAAAGUUGGGGUUAGUGGGUAGCCUGAACUUAGAGCUGAGGAGGUGUCAUUUCUUCUCUUCCUAUGAAAACAAUUGAUGAGCAUCUGUUCUUGAAAGAGCCAUUUAAGAAAACAUCUUUCCAAAAUUGAUUAUGAAGUCUUGAAUCUCCAAUAAAUCUGAAAUUGCUGGUCUUUUGAUUCAGAGAAUUUGGAGGCAUUCUCAUUUUGUGAAGUCAUUCUUUCAAAAGGUAGACUUUGUUUAAGGAUAUGCAUGUUAUAGUAACCUUUCUUGGAACCUUUUUUUCUUUUUAACAUGGAGUCUCACUCUGUCGCCCAGGCUGGACUGCAGUGUCACAAUCUUGGCUCAUGAGAUGCCAGCCUGGAAGGAAAAGGGUCUUUGCACAUGUAAUUAAGGAUCUCAAGAUGAGGUCAUUCUGGAUUAUCUGAGAGAGGUUUACAUCCAAAGACAAGGGGUCCUUAUAAGAAGGAGGAAGACACAGAAGAGGAGAAGUUCAUGUGAAGACAGAAACAGAGUGGAGUAAUACAUCUACAAGCCAAGAACUGUGCCAAGGGUUGUUGGCAGCCACGAGAAGCCAAGGAAGAGGGGCAUGGAACAGAUUUUCUCUGAGAGCCUCCCAGAGGAACCAGUACUGCAGACACCUUGAUUUUGAGUUUCUAGCCUCCAAAACUGAGAAAGAAUAAAUUUCAGUUGUUUGAGGGUAACAGGUUUGUGGUAAUUUGUUACAGCAAUGAGUACAGCAACUUUUUGAUAAUGUUUACAUAAUUUGGGGGGACAGAUGGGGGUUAAUAGGUGGCAGAAAUUUGGGGUGGGAGCAAGAUGAACUUGGUAAUUUGGAUAUUUUCUGUGUCUUGAUCAUGAAAAGUUUUGUGUUACAACUACCAGAAGGCACAGAGCAAUGUUUGUUUUGAUUAGAUGAAAACAGAUUAUAGAUAAAAGGCUUUUCCAUAUUCUUCUGUAAACACACAGUGUCAUACCAUAUGAGGUCUAGAAACUAGAAUUUUUUUCCAAUAUACUUAAGUUCUUUAGGGUCCUCUUCAAUAGUGGAUGUAUUAAUUAGAAUCUGCAUUUUUUUUUUGUAGAUUUGUUGGAAUUUGGACUAUAUAUUCUGAUGAAUAGAAUUAUUUUUCUAGUUUUCAUUAAAUAAAUUUGUCAUAAAAGAAUACUUUGACAUUUUCCCAUGUACUUAUACAGGUUGGUUGUCUUUUUCUUUUUCCUUUUCUUUUCUCACUUUCUUUCUUUCUUUCUUUCUUUUUUUUUUUUUUUUUUUAAAGGAGACAGGGGUCUUGCUCGGUCACCCAGGCUGGAGUAGAGUGAUGUAACGAUAGCUCACUGCAGCCUCAAACUCCUGGGCUCGAGAUCCUCCCACCUCAGCCUCUGGAGUAGCUGGGACUAUAGGUGCACACCACUGCACUUGGCUAAUUUUCUUUUCUUUUUGUAGAGACAGGUUCUCACUGUGUUGCCCAGGAUGGCCUUGAACUUCUGGCCUCAAACUUCUGGCCUCAAGCAAUCCUCCUGCCUUGGCCUCCCAAAGUUUUGGGAUUACAGGUGUGAGCCACUGCCCUGACCUCUUUUUUCCUAAGUGAGUUUGAGGAAUAUAUAUUUUGGUUCCUCUUUUAAUACCAUGAAACUUUCAGGUUCAUAGCUCAUAAAAUGUUACGUAGCAUUGAAUUUUUUUAAUAAAAAUGAAAAUCAGACUCAUUUUCAUUAUUAAUAAAAAUUUCAGUGAGGCUACAUAACAUGAGGCUACAUAUUCACAUUUAGAUAAGAGAUCCACAGAAUUUUUGGUCUACUUUUAAGUUAAUAUUAUAGUUCUUAAAGUGCCCUGGGUGAAGACUAUUUUUUUGAAACAGAAGAGAUUUUUUUAAAAAAAAAUAGGCUUUUGUGUUUAUUACCUAAAGAAGCUAUUCUGAAAUUUUUAUGUAGAAAAUCCUCUUCUGCUCUAGCUACAGAAGAUUUUUUUUCAUAGAUAUUUUUGUCAUCUCUUUUGUCCUCUUUCCUUUGUUAUAAAUGAUAAGAAAAGACUGCUUUUUUCAAAAACUGUGUUUUUCUAUUGGUGAAUUUUGCCAUGCCUAAAGUGAUCUCUGAGAUAUCAUCCUUUUGGCUAUAAAUGUUUCUGUUAACUGUUAUAAAGAGCUUUCUAUAAUAGACACAGUAGAAUGUACUUAAUUUUUUUCUCCCUUCUUGGUAAAUCUCUUUUGGUUGAAAGAAAAUGUGUCACUUGCCUCCUAUUAUAGAAGCUUGUAUGAACAGCCAUGGGUGUAAUCUCCAGGGAAGGCUUGUUGGCCAUUGCCAGUGAGCCUGGCUCCACUGUUAGCUGCCUCAGCUCUUCCUCUUUUCCAGAUGAGCUGAUGCUGACAGCUGAAAGAUAGAAAAUAAGUGGGGAGAAUUCAAAUAUGGGGAAAGUAUUGUGGGAAAAUAGAUACUUAGUUUUCUUUUUAAUAUUAUGGAGAAAGCAAAUAUCUUUGGGUAAAAUACAUUAAUUGUAGUCACUCUAGGAAAUAGAUGUUUAAAAUCUGACAAAUAACGUUCCCCUAAGUUUUUACAGGUCUGUGGUUUCAUAUCGGGUGACAUUUGUUAAGUUAAUCCAAAUGAAAUUGUACCUCCUUAUUUGAAUUUACUGUACAUUUGAUAAAAACAAGAGAGUUAACAUGAUGCUAUUGAUUGUCAUAUCAUCACUUCUGUCCUUUUGUGAUAGCAGUUUACAGGAAAGCAAUUUGUCAAAAAAUAGUAUUUUGUUUUGUUUUCUUUACUGGAAGCAUGGACCUGCAUGGUAAUAUGUUGAUUUUUAAGGUAUAUUUUAUAAAUUAAAAAAAUUCUAUUAUAAAAUAAUUAUUUUGAAUAGAUGGUAAUAUUUCUAAUGAACAAUAUUAAUGUUCCAUUGCAAUCAUGUGGUUUUUAAAUUAGAAGGCUCAAUUUCAGUUUUUAUUAGAAAGAAUAUUGUUUAGUAUCAAAUGACUAUUAAAAGUAUAUAAUGCAAUAAAAGGAAAGAUGUGAAGGAAUGUAGAAACAUUAAAGCAAAAUCAAACCUCCUUAAAUAGUUAUAUCAGAUGUAAUUAAAAUAUGGGAUGUAAUUGACUAUCAAAUACUUGAACCAGUGCUUUUAUUUGUAAUAUAUAUGUGUAUAUAUGUUUUUGAUUACAGAUAUUAAGCACAAAAUGAAAUACUAUUGAUUUGAAGCACUAGCCAAUUGAAAAAUAAUUAAAAUGGUUACCCAGAACUUAGCUGCAAUUUUACUGGGGAUUUUUGUACAAUGUAUAGCCCUAGUUUCAUCUCCAAUAUUCUCACCUUUAAGAAAGCAUUUACAUUUCCUGUCCUCUCCCAACUGGGAGAAUAUGCAAAUAUUAUAAAAUAAAAUUCUCUUUUAUAAAUAGUUUUUAAAAUAGUACUUUCCUUUAAUGCAUUUACAAGGAUGAAAUACAAGUUCAGAGGAUUAAGAUCCUUUUAUCUGACAGUAUAGAAAAUCUUAAACUUACAGAGAAAAUAGUGGUAGAUUUUCUAAUUCCUGGUCUUUGUUCUUACCUCUUCUACUGGAGGUUUUGGGGUCUGUGUCAGGAAACCUUAUUAUAACUAAGGUAAUUUGUUAAGGCUUCUUGCUUGGGUGUACACCACUGGGAUUGAGAUGCUUUGUAUUUCCACUGCUCUGUGAAUUCAUUUUUUAUUUCCCCAGCUUUUGAGGAGAGGCAUAUUCAAAUAGGAAAUUUGAAAGGCAGUAAAGCACAUAUUUUUAUACCCUUCACCAAGACCUAUUCUAUUUUCUUUCUCCUUCCAUUCCCCAAAUCCUUCUUUCUCAUAGAAACAUUUCAAAAUAUAGAUGGGCCUUUAAAUAUUUCUGCAUAUAUUUUCUAAGAAUCUAGAAUUUUCUCUUACAUAACCAGCACUACUAUCACAAGCAAGAAUAUUAACAGUAAUUUAGUAAGUAAUAUCAUUUAAAAUAUGAUUCAUAAUUGGAUUUCUCCAGUUGUAUAGCUGUCAUUUUGUGUUUUGUUUUUCCAGGUCAAGAUCCAUUUUUCAUUUGGUUAAAUCUGUGGUUUUUUUCAAAUCUAGAAGAGUACUCCAUUCAUGUUUUUUUUUUUCUAUAACACUUAUUUCUUUUGUUGAUAGCCUUUAUUUUUUAACUUUUCAUUUUGCAUUUUCAUUGCAAUUUCAGACUUACAGAAUAGUUACAAAGAUAGUAUAAAUCAUUCUUAUGUAUGCUUUGCCCAGCUUCCUCAAAUAUUAACAUGUUAUAUAACUAUACCACAAUUAUCAAAAUUAGACAGUUAACACUGAUAUGUUAUUACUAACUAAUCUGUAGACCUUAUUCAAAUGCUGUCACUUUUCUCACAAGUGUCCUUUUUCUGGUCCCAAACCUAGUUUAGGACCCCAUGUUGCAUUUAGUUUCUGUGUCUCCUUUGUCUCUUAUGAUCUGAGAGAGUUGCUCAAUGUACACAUUUGUAUUUAAUCACCUUGACAAUUUUGAAGAAUGUCAGUCUGUAAUUUUACGGAAUGUCUUUUUUUGGGGGGUUGACUAAUGUUUCCUGAUGAAUAAAUGAAGAUUAUUCAUUUUGGGCA
Molecule: non-coding RNA, 8551 nt
Organism: Callithrix jacchus (white-tufted-ear marmoset)
Lineage: Eukaryota; Metazoa; Chordata; Mammalia; Primates; Cebidae
Source: RefSeq, a predicted model, not a curated record